This 497-nucleotide ribosomal RNA is filed under the name uncultured bacterium. RNAcentral describes it as "partial 16S ribosomal RNA". It matches the Rfam family "Bacterial small subunit ribosomal RNA", at positions 28 to 507 of the family's 1533-position model. The record is from RNAcentral.
GAUGAACGCUGGCGGCGUGCCUAAUACAUGCAAGUCGAGCGAACAGAUAAGGAGCUUGCUCCUUUGACGUUAGCGGCAGACGGGUGAGUUACACGUGGAUAACCUACCUAUAAGACUGGGAUAACUUCGGGAAACCGGAGCUAAUACCGGAUAACAUAUUGAACCGCAUGGUUCAAUAGUGAAAGGCGGCUUUGCUGUCACUUAUAGAUGGAUCCGCGCCGUAUUAGCUAGUUGGUAAGGUAACGGCUUACCAAGGCAACGAUACGUAGCCGACCUGAGAGGGUGAUCGGCCACACUGGAACUGAGACACGGUCCAGACUCCUACGGGAGGCAGCAGUAGGGAAUCUUCCGCAAUGGGCGAAAGCCUGACGGAGCAACGCCGCGUGAGUGAUGAAGGUCUUCGGAUCGUAAUACUCUGUUAUCAGGGAAGAACAAAUGUGUAAGUAACUGUGCACAUCUUGACGGUACCUGAUCAGAAAGCCACGGCUAACUACGUG